GAUGAACGCUGGCGGCGUGCCUAAUACAUGCAAGUCGAGCGAACGGACGCGAAGCUUGCUUCUCUGAUGUUAGCGGCAGACGUGUGAGUCACACGUGUAUACCCCACCUAUAAGACUGGGAUAACUUCGGAAAACCGGAUCUAAUAGCGGAUAAUAUUUUGAACCGCAUGGUUCAAAGGUGAAAUACGGUGUUUCUGUCACUUAUAGAUGGAUCCGCGCUGCAUUAGCUAGUUGGUAGGUUAACGGCUUUCCAAGGCAACGAUGCAUAGCCGACCUGAGAGACGGGUAGGCGACCUGGGAAGUGAGACACCGUCAAGGCGACUACGGGAGGCAGCAGACGGGAACGUGACGCAGUAGGGGGGAGCCUGACGGAGCGGCGCGGAGUGAGUGAUGAAGGUCUUCGGAUCGUAAAACUGUGUUAUUAGGGAAAAACAGAUGUGUAAGUAAAUGUGCACAGAUUGACGGUACCUAAUAAGAAAGCAACGGCUAACUACGUG
RNAcentral lists this ribosomal RNA (497 nucleotides) under uncultured bacterium. RNAcentral's name for it is "partial 16S ribosomal RNA". It matches the Rfam family "Bacterial small subunit ribosomal RNA", at positions 28 to 507 of the family's 1533-position model. The record is from RNAcentral.